UUUGUAGGUGGUCUGUUAAGUCAGACGUGAAAUCCCUCAGCUUAACUGGGGAACUGCGUCUGAGACUGAUGGACUUGAGGGCAGGAGAGGAACGCGGAAUUCCAGGUGUAGCGGUGAAAUGCGUAGAUAUCUGGAGGAACACCGGUGGCGAAGGCGGCGUUCUGGACUGUUUCUGACACUGAAAAACGAAAGCCAGGGGAAGGCAAACG
RNAcentral lists this ribosomal RNA (209 nucleotides) under uncultured bacterium. RNAcentral's name for it is "partial 16S ribosomal RNA". It matches the Rfam family "Bacterial small subunit ribosomal RNA", at positions 568 to 774 of the family's 1533-position model. The record is from RNAcentral.